GCCGGGUGUGGUGGCUCACGCCUGUAAUCCUAGCACUUUGGGAGGCCGAGGUGGGCGGAUCGCUUGAGUCCAGGAGUUCAAGACCAGCCUGGGCAACAUAGCGAGAUCCUGUCUCUA
Non-coding RNA from Pan troglodytes (chimpanzee), 117 nucleotides. It matches the Rfam family "Metazoan signal recognition particle RNA". Rfam says of the family: The signal recognition particle (SRP) is a universally conserved ribonucleoprotein. It is involved in the co-translational targeting of proteins to membranes. The record is from Rfam. NCBI's taxonomy places the organism in Eukaryota, Metazoa, Chordata, Mammalia, Primates, Hominidae.